AUUGAACGCUGGCGGCAGGCCUAACACAUGCAAGUCGAGCGGCAGCGGGAAAGUAGCUUGCUACUUUUGCCGGCGAGCGGCGGACGGGUGAGUAAUGCCUGGGAAAUUGCCCAGUCGAGGGGGAUAACAGUUGGAAACGACUGCUAAUACCGCAUACGCCCUACGGGGGAAAGCAGGGGACCUUCGGGCCUUGCGCGAUUGGAUAUGCCGGGGUGGGAUUAGCUAGUUGGUGAGGUAAUGGCUCACCAAGGCGACGAUCCCUAGCUGGUCUGAGAGGAUGAUCAGCCACACUGGAACGGAGACACGGUCCAGACUCCUACGGGAGGCAGGAGUGGGGAAGAUUGCACAAUGGGGGAAACCCUGAUGCAGCCAUGCCACGUGUGUGAAGAAGGCCUUCGGGUUGUAAAGCUCUUUCAGCGAGGAGGAAAGGUUGAUGCCUAAUACGUAUCAACUGUGACGUUACUCGCAGAAGAAGCACCGGCUAACUCCGUGCCAGCCGCCGCAGUAA
This 508-nucleotide ribosomal RNA is filed under the name uncultured bacterium. Its description in RNAcentral is "partial 16S ribosomal RNA". It matches the Rfam family "Bacterial small subunit ribosomal RNA", at positions 30 to 523 of the family's 1533-position model. The record is from RNAcentral.